Molecule: ribosomal RNA, 1363 nt
Filed under: Propylea japonica
Lineage: Eukaryota; Metazoa; Arthropoda; Insecta; Coleoptera; Coccinellidae
Description: 16S ribosomal RNA
Rfam family: Archaeal large subunit ribosomal RNA (bases 1073-1231)
Source: RNAcentral
UUUAAAAAUUUAAAUUGAAUUUAAAUAAUUAUUUAAUUUUAAAUUUUUUAUAAUUUUAAUUAAAAUAUUAAAAAUUUUAUUAAUUUAGAUGAAAUAAUUAUAUUUAUUAUAGUUUAAUAUUACUGUGAAGGAAUUUUAAAAAAUAUUUAAAAGAAAAAUUUUUUUGUACCUUGUGUAUCAGGGUUUAUUAAAUAAACUUUAAUAAUUUAAAUUUCUCGAAUUUAAAAGAGCUAAAUUAUUAUAUAUUUUAUUGUUUUAUAAAUAUUUAAAAUAAUAAUUUAGUAAUGAAAUGUUAUUCGUUUUUAAAUAUAUCUAGUUUUUUAAGAAAAAAAUUUAAUUUUUUUAAUAAAUAAAAUAAAUUUAAUUUUUAAUUUUAUUAAUUUAUUAUUAAAUAUUUUAAGGGAUAAGCUUUAAAAUAAAUUUUUAUAAUUAAAUAAUUUAUUUAUAUAAUUUAUAGAAUUAGAAAUUUUUAUUGUUAGAAAUUUAUUAAAAUUUGUUAUAUAUUGUAUUAAUAUUUAUAUUUAAAAUUUAAUUUUUUUAUUAAAAUAAAUAUUCUAAUGAAAAUUUAUAUAGAAAUAAUGAUAAAAUUAGUAUUAUAUAUAUAUGUAUAUAUAUAUAUAUAUAUAUAUGAAAGGUUAAAUAAAGGAAUUCGGCAAAUAUAUUUUUCACCUGUUUAUUAAAAACAUCUCUUUUUGAUAAUAAUUUAAAGUAGGGCCUGCCCACUGAAUAUAAUUUGAAGGGCCGCAGUAUUUUGACUGUGCAAAGGUAGCAUAAUCAUUAGUUUUUUAAUUGAAAGCUUGUAUGAAUGGUUUGAUGAGAAAAUUUCUUUCUAUAUUUAAUUUUUAAAUAAUUUUAUUUUUAAGUUAAAAAGCUUAAAUAUUAAUAAAAGACGAGAAGACCCUAUAGAGUUUAAUAUAAUUUAAUAUUUAAAAAUUUAGAAUUUAUUAUUAUAUAAUAUUAUCUUGUAUUUGAUUGGGGUGAUUAAAAAAUUAAAAUAACUUUUUUUAAAAAAAAACAUUAAUUUAUGAGUAUUUGAUCCAUAUAAAUGAUUAAAAGAAUAAAUUACCUUAGGGAUAACAGCGUUAUUUUUUUUUAGAGUUCUAAUCGAAAAAAGAGAUUGCGACCUCGAUGUUGGAUUAAAGUUAAUUUUAGGUGCAGAAGCUUAAAUAUUUGGUCUGUUCGACCAUUAAAACUUUACAUGAUCUGAGUUUAAACCGGUGUGAGCCAGGUUGGUUUCUAUCUUUAUUAAAUUAAUAAAUUUUAGUACGAAAGGACCGAAUUUAUAAUUUAUAAUUUUUUAUAUGAAUAUAAGUAAUUUAUUAUUUUGGCAGAAUAGUGCGUUAGAUUUAGGAUCUUUUUAUGU